This is a long non-coding RNA of Pimephales promelas (fathead minnow), 490 nucleotides long. RefSeq lists it as uncharacterized. The record is from RefSeq and is a predicted model, not a curated record. NCBI's taxonomy places the organism in Eukaryota, Metazoa, Chordata, Actinopteri, Cypriniformes, Leuciscidae.
UUUCAACACCUGCGCGUGGAGCUUGUGAAGACCUGUAUAAAUGAAGGAAAUCCCAUUCAAUGUGAUCUCUGAGUUUUGAACUCCUACAUUGACCAUCCAAUCCACCGGCAGAUCAGCAUGCAAAACACAAAUGCGGGUGACCGGCAUUGACGACCUUUUCAGUCGAUACACACUUUCUGCAUCAGAAUAAUGAGCAAGCUGUCAGAAACCAUCAGUUGUCAGUGGCCAGAGUCUGGUGGUCACUUCGCUGCAUGCUCACACACACUCAGACCUUCAGGGGCUCUGAAGCCUGAAGCACAAUUCGGAGGGGCAUCAAAGGCACAAAGCUGUCAUGACUAUUUAGCUUCAUCUCACGACAGACUAACAUCCUAUUUUCGUCUCUCGCUCUUCAUUUUUUCAAAUUACAUUCAGUGCAUAUGUGUGUGCGAUGAUGCGGCUGCAUGUAUAUGUGCUUGUUUCUUAACCUUCAACCACAUUUAUGUCCCUGGGG